AUUUUUAUAAGUAAAAUCUGCUCCAUGUUAAUAAAUAGCCGCAGAAUUUUAACUGUGCUAAGGUAGCAUAAUCAUUUACCUUUUAAUUAAAGGUUUGCAUGAAUGAUUAUACAAUUAAAUUAUUUUUUUAUGAAUAUAUAUCUAAUUUAAACUAAAAAUAAAAAUGUUUUUAUAAAUAAAAAAGACGAUAAGACCCUAUUGAACUUUACCGUCGUUUAGCUGGGGAAGCUAAUUAAAUACAAUUUUAAUUUUUUUUUAAAAAAAAAUUUCUAAUAAAAUUAUACUAAACAAGUUACCAUAGGGAUAACAGCGUAAUAUAAUUUUAAAGCUCAUAUUAAAAAUUAAGUUUACGACCUCGAUGUUGAAUUAGAAUACCUUUGAAGCGCAAUAGCCUCAAAAGAAGGUCUGU
This 409-nucleotide ribosomal RNA is filed under the name Dicymbium tibiale. Its description in RNAcentral is "partial 16S ribosomal RNA". It matches the Rfam family "Bacterial large subunit ribosomal RNA", at positions 1842 to 2580 of the family's 2925-position model. Lineage: Eukaryota; Metazoa; Arthropoda; Arachnida; Araneae; Linyphiidae. The record is from RNAcentral.